AUACUUACCUGGCAGAGAAGACACCAUGCCCAAGGAGGUGGUUCUUCCAGGGCGAGACUCACCUAUUGCACUCUGGGUGUGUUGACCUCUGCGAUUUCCUCAAAUAGAGGACACUCGUCUGUGUAAUUUGUGGUAGAGGGGGACUGCGUGCGUGCUUUCCCCCA
Small nuclear RNA from Budorcas taxicolor (takin), 164 nucleotides. RefSeq annotates it as U1 spliceosomal RNA. The record is from RefSeq and is a predicted model, not a curated record. The transcript has a single exon. Lineage: Eukaryota; Metazoa; Chordata; Mammalia; Artiodactyla; Bovidae.